RNAcentral lists this transfer RNA (77 nucleotides) under Bacillota bacterium. RNAcentral's name for it is "tRNA-Glu". It matches the Rfam family "tRNA". Rfam says of the family: Transfer RNA (tRNA) molecules are approximately 80 nucleotides in length. Their secondary structure includes four short double-helical elements and three loops (D, anti-codon, and T loops). The record is from RNAcentral. Lineage: Bacteria; Bacillati; Bacillota. RNAcentral also lists the same sequence under 2 other names.
GGCCCGUUGGAGAAGCGGCUUAACUCACCACCCUUUCACGGUGGCAUUCAUGGGUUCGAAUCCCAUACGGGUCACCA